GUAAGCAAUGAGGUUCAUUUGAUAUAUGAAUCUAUUUUUGUUAGGGUUUAGAUAGAAAUUAGAAGAAGUAAAGAUAGAAAUGAAUGAAUCCAUGUCUAUCUCAAAAUUUUUAAACUAAUCCAUUACAUACCUGAAGUCAAAGAACAAGAAAGACACAAAGAAGUCCUAGCUGUAGCCUGAUGCCUGAUUUAUGAUCAUAGGCAACUCUGCCCCUUUGUGGCACAAAACCAAUCUCCUACAGGUCAUAAAUUCAGAAAAUUCUCAAGUGCUGUUCACUGUCACCUAAACGUGAAAAUCAAAUGCCUAGAAAAUACUGUGAUUUUUAUGGGCCCAGGAGUAAUGGGAUAGAACAUAGAAGUAUUUUUGAUUUGAGUGAAUCAAAGCUUCACACAUUAGACUUCUUUCUCAAUGUAGGUGUUUGGUAGGUAGCCUGCCAUGAGCGAUGCAGCUUCUCAUUUUUCUAUGUGCUGUGAACAAGUCCUCUUGUGUCUUUCAAUCUUCUGCUGUAGGAUCAAUCUAGCCUAUCUGGGAAAUUAAAAAAUAUAGAUUGUAUAGAAGGUUGUUCUAUGUUCACCUUGCAGGUGUCAUGUGUCAUUUCCAUCCACAUUCCAAGUCCAGAAUCCAGUCCCAUAGUCAUAGCUAAAUAAAUAGUGGUGGAAAAUUUAAGCUAAUUUGACCAAAAGAGAGAGAAGUUUGGCUAACAAGUAACCAAUGUCUCCCUUUCCUAUUACAUGUGUUACAUAGGUGCAGAUUGCACUGACAGAUUCAUGACCCUGAAAGAAAUGUAAAUGGAGAUAAAAACUACUUCCUUAGAGAAGAAUCACCAGAAGAGGAGCCGAAAGUCAACAGAACAGACCAGACCAAACAGCGUUAUGCAGACACCAAAAACAGCUGUAGUGGUCAUUGAUGAUUUUGAAGUAUAAGAAGAUAUGAAAUACAAGACAAGAAGAUGGGUUCCCAAUUCACUAUUUGAAAGAGCAUAUCCAGUAAAACAAGAAAGAGAAAUCAAAUUAUGUUGCAUGAAGUCAUUGAACAUUUUGUCAUGCCUUUUUUUCUAGAAAUUUUACCUACUAUAAUCAAGACAAAAACAAAAAAAGGAUGAGAGAAAAUUUCUGUACUUUGGACAUC
This 1128-nucleotide long non-coding RNA is filed under the name Oryctolagus cuniculus (rabbit). RNAcentral's name for it is "lncRNA (ENSOCUG00000034548.1)". Lineage: Eukaryota; Metazoa; Chordata; Mammalia; Lagomorpha; Leporidae. The record is from RNAcentral.